GGUUAAGGCAUUUUUCCAGAAUGAAAACCUGAAGGCUUUAUUCCUUCACGAUAAAGAAUGAGGCAGAAAUGAUUCCAGCACCUGGCAAAGCAAAGCAGGUGACUCUCAGGGCUUCGGCAGAGAAAUCUCGAGCACAGAUUCCCCAAUUUCAGCUCAUUCCAUGAUUCUUUCAUCACAAUUGGAGACGCUCCAGCUCUGCCCAGCAGCUCCUGUAGCUCAGCAAAACGAUCACGACAGCACGCCAGCAAUCCUGACAUAAUAAGAAGGACACAUUAAUCUCACAGCUGGGCAUAACGAGCGGUAGCCAAAACUGCACAUGGGGAAACCAAAGGAGUGAUUCACCGUUAUGGGUCGCGUUGUUCAAGGCAGCCCAGGGUACCAGACCCCUAAAGAGCACCAGUGGUUUGGAGCACACUGUGGUUAAUGAGGUGCCACCAGUUGAAGCAAGUGGCGAUGGGAUGUGCAGCAUCCCAGCUGUACCUCUACUUAACCAAAGGACCCUAAGAGUGGCUUCAUUCAAACCCUCGAAGCAAACCCAUAUAUCUCCAUGCUCUGAGGCAGAGGUAGUCACCACAUGCGUGGAUGAAGGCACUUAAUUUCCCUGGGAGUCACUACGUGUUCAAGACGUGUAUCGAUUUCCGUACCGCGCUUGUAAGUUAUGAGUGAUUUCUUUUGUAAGUGUCAGGUGAGAGACAUGAAUGGAGACCUAAUUAAAGUGUAUACAAAGUACAUGCAGUAAAUCUCUUUGGCAAUGUCAACCUGCUUUAAAGCGGCCCGGGAGAGCAAACAAGAUGGCAUAAAUGGAAGAUAAAGAAAUACUAAUAGGCUGUGACGUUCCCAGAGCAGCAGCUUAGCUGGUGAGCUGCUAACACAAAGUGGCUGGGGGUACCAGGGAGAAGAAGUGCAAUUCCCAGGGCACGUUCUGGCCCUACAACACGAAACAAUGGGAAUUUUGCUGUUAACUUAAAUAACAGCCCUAUGUUUCUUGCCUGUAUUGUAGCCAUUAUUUCAUAACUGUUUAAAAUUAAAGCUAUCUCUCCAUCAGUGAUCCAU
RNAcentral lists this long non-coding RNA (1053 nucleotides) under Phasianus colchicus (ring-necked pheasant). RNAcentral's name for it is "lncRNA (ENSPCLG00000021475.1)". Lineage: Eukaryota; Metazoa; Chordata; Aves; Galliformes; Phasianidae. The record is from RNAcentral.